GACCUUGAAGUUACCUUAACCAGUCUGUCUGUGUUGUUUCUGGCAGCCUGCAGCAAAACCAGUUAUAUUGCCCUCCUAAUUUGCAAGCUGGGCCCUCCUAGGACUUGUUUUGAGGCCAGGUUGCCUUAGCCCAUGGGUAGUAGAGAGAAAGCAGAGCUGGGGAGGAGUGGCGAGGAGUGGGAAUGGUGGGAUGGUUGUGGGUUGGUUUUUGUGCCCUGAGCCUGUGGUUGCUCCAGACAUCGUGGUUCAGAGGAUCCCAGGGUUGGAGGACUGGUUGUGGUGGGAAGAUCUCUGAUCUGUGAUUGAGCUACCGUCCCAGGAUUGUGGUGGGACCACUGGGAAAUGGCAGCUUGGGUAACCUCAGUGUUAAUCCCACUGGUCUUCUGGUUAUUGGGUGGGUCUUAGAGCACAGCUGGAGUGGUGCAACUUUUUCUCUUUAACUGAAGAGCAUCCUUCCCCUGGACAGUCUAUUGUUUUGUUUUCCAACUGCAAUUCAGCUGGAGUUGUGUAGGAAAAGGGGCAAAGCAUAAUUCUCAAAACGGUAUCACGAAAUAAAAGAUAUGUAAAACUAGCGUAACGAAACCGGUGAAGUUGUAAAGAAUUUAGGCUGCGGCAAACAUCAGUUUCUUGACUGCGAUGCAUAGUCAUUUGUCUUUUUGUUUACACAACAAAAUAGCCUGAAGAGAGUUAAUAUGUUUGGAAAACGGCACUCGCAUGUAUUUCUAAUAGGAGAGGAAACUCAACAAAUGGAUGUGACUCAACAAAUUGAGUAUACAGAACAGAUCACAGCUCUGAUUAGGCCAUUUACAGAUUGGUUUGAAGAGCGCUGGCCUCUGGCCAGUGAGCUACUUCUUACUCGCAAGGAACCCAGACGAACAGCGCGGACACUGAGCUAAUGCUGCACUGUGCUUUGUCUAAAGCGAUGAUGGCCUUGUACUUAGUGCAUACACUUGCUGCUGGCUGCUUAGCAUAAUGGAGCGUCCUGCACCACAUGCGGCUGUGGCCACGCUGCAGAGACUUCACCACAACAUAACUGCAGACCUCUCCCACUAAGGCCUCGUAAACGGCACAGAUUAAAAAUAAUAUGGGUAACAUAAAAUGGAGUCGAAAAGAAUACGGAUGGCUUAAUAUGAAAGCCAUGAAUACUGCUGCAUAAAAUGCCUGAGCUAUUAGUUCACUUACAACCGGUGUACCUGUGCACAAAUCUGUGUGCUGGUUUUGCGUACUGUAAUAUAAAUGGUCUUUGUUCUUACCUUUAUAUAAUAACACCCCACCUAAUAUAUAGACACCCUUGUAUGUUUUAUGCAUUCAUCUAAUUUAGUUGUUAAAUAUUGCUCCAGAACCCACACAUACACCAAAAGAACUGUAUAUUGUCAAACUGGUUUGAAACCUAUAAAGAAGUGCUUGGGAAGGAACGGUUGAAAGCUGAAGAAUUAAAGAGCAUUCCUUUAAUUUGGUGGCCUCAUAACAUGCUGCUGAGUAGGAGGAGAAAAGAAUGAGUCUGGUGGCUGGAUUGGGUCUGCGUUUCCUGUGUUGAAAUGAGAUGGGUGGAACAGGAUGGUCAUGGUGUCCCCAGCCCUGGAAGGAAGAAACAUCCAUUUGGUCUCAAUGUGGAGCAACUCUCAGGGUUUAACUCUGGGACAAAGUUAUUAGAUUCUCUACCCAGGCUGAUUUUUCUUCCUUUCAAGUAAUUGCUAGUGCUCCUUUCCCUUAAGUAUUAAUCUCUUACUCUGAGGAAACCACUUCUUGUCCUGCAGUACAUCCAUGUGGUCUUGACUGGGAGCCCUGGGAGCCCUCCCGGGUCUGCGUCAUGGAGGUGAGGCUGUGUCUGGGAUCCCCCGGGCAACCCAGCUGUGACUUAUGGAGGAAUCUCAACAAGGCCAAAACACUUGGGUUGUUAGAAACCCCAGAGAUAUUAAUGAAUUUCAGCAUUGGACUGAUGUUUUUUUAAUCAUUAUUCUUUUUUCUUGGUGUCUACUGUUGUAUGAGGGCAAGAAUCUGCAGAAAAACAAAGGCCCAACCCCAAGGAGCCUGUAAACAAAGCUAAACAGUUAACACAUGAGCCCGUCCUGAAUGAGAAAGGGAAGAUGUUUUUCAUUUUGUGAUGAGUUGCUAACUGGGAGUUAGUUUGCCAUCUGCCUGUGGGAAAGCCCUAGGAGCAGGCUUUGACGUGGGCCGUGGAGUUCCCUACUGCUCCCCCUCCAAACCAUUCUUCAGCGUGGAAAGCUGAUCCUCUGUGAAAGCACUGCGUGCUGGAAGUCUGCCACGUUUGUACUGGGGAUGUUUGAGGCAAGAUGCUCAGUCUGUGCACCCGAUGUCCCCCUCAGCACCGCAGCGACAGCCAGCGCUUCCCUGUCUUGUGGGGGGCUUGCAGGGGCAGUACUCAGUAUAUUCUAGGUGUUGGGGAUGCUGGAGUGGUGGGACAACUUGAUGAAAUCCCGAGUGGUAGGUAAAGUGGGUAUGAGGGAGUUCUUCCCCAGUGAGAAGUUUGUUUUUCUGUAUGGUAUGGGGAGGUUCAAAGUUACAAACUUGGUGGUUAUGUGUGGUUGUCACCACCCAUAGGUAGGUUUAUCUUCUGGCUGCAGUUGUACCCUGUUCCUCUCCUCUGCAUCCCCUCCCCAUCCAGCCAAUUCCCCAAAGAGGUUUUCCCAGAGGCUGCAGAAAAGUUACUCCGUGGCUUCGGUUCUCAGGUGCCCAUUGCAGAUAUGUUAAAUACAGAAAUUAAAAACAUCCUUCCUACUCUGUCCUCCCCCACGUUGUCUGGGGCACCCACCACGUGGCCUCCUGCUCGGUGCAGCCGAUGAUGCAAGGACAGAGAUUACUUCUGCUUGCAAGAAUUGCAUGGCAGUUCCAGCCAUGUAUUAUAAUUUUAUGCCGGUUGGCGCCAACUAAGUAAUCUCUGUGAUAGCCUUAGGAGCAGCUUUGCCAUGAGAUCUUAGAAAUGAUAUGUUGUCUCCCUGUGAAAGUGCUGAAUUAAACAAGUAGUUGCAAUUUUUUUCAUGACAGUGAUACUCCAUUCCCUGAACAAAAGUGGGGAAAUUUCUUGAAUCUGUGGAAAUUAGAUAUCUAGAGGAAUUCUGUGGUCAAACGGUGACUCUGCUCUUUUAAAAUACUCUGCCAUCUGUUAUUCUUGUUUCUUUGGGCGUGAGAAUUGUUCUAAAACUUCUGGUGUUAUGGUUCAGUACGUUCUGUAUCACGGAGGGGCAAGAAUCUGUAAGUCUUUUAUUAUCAACCCAGGAAUUUUGCUCUGUAGCUUUCCAAAGGUGAGUAGUUGCCCCUUGUUUUAUGGAGUGAAGGAGAUGAAGUUUAAGCCUGUCUUGUUGUUGACUUCAUCACUUUUAUGUCCUCCAGAUUAUCAAGUUCUCUUUAUUUUACGAUAUGAUGAUUUCUACCUGUAUUGAUAGACAAUUAUAUAUGCAACUGCUCUGUAUCACGUGAAACUAAAUAAGUGAGCGAUUCAUCCUUUUCUCCUUGUGAAGCUAAAAGCUGGGUCUCCUGCCUUCCCAGACUAAUUUGAAGUCUACAAGCUUGAGGCAUCAAAAUCUGCUGUGCUGUAUAUAUGAUUUGUUACAAGGAAAUGGAUUCUUUACCCAUUUAGCCAGCGAGGGCAAGACGGCCUCUCUCAAACCUGUAGCUUCCCUGGGGAUGUGGAAAGGCUGAGUCCUCCUGUACCUUUGGCUCUUCCGAGAGUAGUGGGUAUGUUCUUCCUUUUAAUGUAUAUUUAGAGCAAGUGCUGCUUUAAGAUCAAAAGGUUUACUCUGGAUUUAUACCAGGGCAGCUAAACAUGGAACUGUACAUAAUUCCCAAGCACAUUUGUCUUGCAAGAGCCACACCUGAUCUGCCUCCCAGCUCUUAUUUACAUAAGACAUCCUCGUUGUGUUGAGAACAUGUGGGGUGGGGUUGCUUGCUGUCAGGGUGGGCAGCCGUCGCUGCGCACAAGCCUCAGUCCUGCCUCCUCUGGAACUGUGGAUCCUAACUGCGUGCAGCCCUUCCUCACACACCAGCAACAUCUCUCUGCUGUGUCUGUGCAUUUCUGUGGUCUUAACACUAACCUAUUUUAUCCCUGAACACAAUAGGAUGAAAUCCUACAGAAGAAAGACAUAUCUCAAAUGUUUCCAGGAUGCGUACAUCAGCGAUGCAUGUGUAGUUUCUAGCACAGAGAGGAUUAGAAUAAAUGCAUUCUUUGUAGAUGCUGUUUUAAUCUUUCAAGCUAAACUUAGAUCUUGGACACCUGUCUCUGCUGCAGUCUGUCUCUUGAGCUCAUGAAUUUUGUGCACAGCUGUCAGUGCUGUAUGUGGGGUUCUCUCUUUUCAGCUGGCUCUAUUCCCAGUUGGCUGAAAAGUAGGAGCCUGUCUUAGAAAGAGAAUUUCCACUCCUGCAUACUUUGAUGGAAACAAGAAGAUAUAAAACAAGAUUUAAUGACCCUGUUUUUUUCAACCAUUUAUUAGCUGUUCUGUACAUACUCAGUCUCCAGGGAACUAAGUUACAUAUUAUGAUAAGUAUAGAGUGCCUGUUCCCUAUGGACUUAUGUUUCAUGAUUUAUGUGAAUAAAAUAAAGCAUGUAAACCAAAUAAAUUACCUUGGAUAGCUUACUUUGAAACAAGACUCCAGGAAGUGCCAGGAGGUGGCCAGAUGAAAUGCUGACCUGGAUCAGUGGUGCUAAAAUGAGGAUCCCAUCUCCUGCCCAUGCCAAGCCUUUUCUUUAACUCAGAGAUCGAAGAUUACAAAAGGAGGAAAAGGGAUGUUAAGGAGAAUGUCUACCUAUGUUGUCUUCAUUCCUUUGCGACUGAUUAGGAUAUAAAAAACAAGUUCAGGAACCAGACCCGCCACAUCUCUGACAAAAGCAGCCAAGGCUCGCACAGAGUAAAGCCUCCCUUUGCAAACAGACAUCCGCUGUCUUAUGGAUUAGAAGAGUGAGCAGAAGCGAAGAAGAGGAGAUGCAACCGCAUGGGGGAAGCACGUCAUCUCCAGCCACUCAUGGACAGGUGGUGAUCUCCGUGCUCACCUCCAUCUUUGUGACCGUGAAAGUGGCACUUGGCAGAAAAGGAAACUCAUUUCCUGCAGCUGCGGGACAAGGUGCUGUCAAUGCAGCCACCACUGCAGACGUCCAUCAUUUUAGAGGUACCAUCCAAUACUUUUUUCCUUACCUUUCUUCCUUCGACUCUGCUCCACGCUAGGGUCUAAUUGCUGAAUGAUCCUCCACCACGUACCACGUUCUCAAAUGACUUUGUGCCCCUAGUGUCUCUCACAGGAGAGUUCAAAGACAGUGGACUUUUGGAGAGUGUGCUGAACAGAAGCAGCUGAAGGCCCAAAUGCCACUUUGAAGCCCUUCCCAGUGCUUGGAUUCUGGUCUGGGAAUCUGACAGAUUUAUGUCCUUGUUUGAUUUUUCUCUGGUAUUUCCUAAACUUCACCAGCUUGGAAGUAACAUUCAAACAGUACUUCUUUCUAUGCUUAGUUAUUAGCACUUGACAACCCAAUCAAGGACUGAGGUAUAGCACAUAAAUUAAGAACAUGAUUUCACAUAAACAUAUUAUGAACAUAUUUUCAAUUUUCCAAAUAAUAACAUCAAGAAGAUCUUUUGACCUGGGGAAUAGGUUUGGUUCAGGAAAAGCCCAAUGAGCUUUUACUGCUUUACUACCAAAUAAGAAAGAGUUCAGUGAGACCACUCAAAGUACUCCAGCUAAAGAGCUUUGGUUGGUGCAAGAAAGUUGUUCUCCACCAGCCUUUAUAUACCACAUAUUUGCUAUCUGAAUCUCUUUAGGAACAACAGACUUUGCAAGCAAUUCAACCCUUUACAGUAAACCGUCAUCUUGGUUCUUGCAGAAGACCUAGAAACUCUACAUUUAAAAUUAUUAAUGGUUGUAGUCCUACAGAAUUGGAAAGACCUAUGCGGUAUGGAAUUUCUGAGACAUCACUCUGGGAAUCUCUUCAUGUGUGUAAAACCUUACUCGCUCUCCUCGGUCUCCUUUGGAGCCUUUUGGCCCGGGUUGUCCUGGAGAGCCCGGUAAGCCCUAGAAGAGAUGCAGAACAAGAAGGAAUUAAUUUCCACUGUGCCUCCUUUGUGUAGGUGAAGUGAAUACAAUUCCCAAUGAUCCUUAGCUCCUGAAAACCUCGUACACCCAUUAAGCAACUGGGAUGGAUUCUCUUCUACCUUCAAGGAACAACAAUGGAAACUCUGUUUGCAAACAUCCCGAGCCCUAUAGUUUCUGUGUAUUUGGGUCUUUUGGGGUCUUUUAAGACACUGCAGACUACUGCUCUAACAUUUUUAAGGGACCAGUAUGAGAGGAUAGUUCUUGUUCUCAGUUACCAAGAAUAAAUUAAUACACAGAUAGUAUGGUUAGCUUAAAAAUCCCCACUGCUUUCCCCCUCUUCAUAAUUGCCUCAGUGGGUGGCAUGAGUAAGCAUACAUACCUGAAAAUUAAUUGGAUUGUGCAGUGGAAAUUAUUUUGAAGCUAUUCACUCACCCUAAUAAACAAUUUUCAAAUUAAGCCCAAUCUCUACUAACAAUUUUGCUCCCUGGGUUGAAUAAAUCUAUAAACCAGUCACCAACGGAUAAGAAGGACGUAGUCUUCAGAUUUCUACUAAUUGAACAGCUUUGCAGAAAUCAAUCCAAAUUCCUAACUUAUCCACCCAGUGAAGCCACAGCUAUAAUAUAAACCAGAGACAGUGAGAGAACAAUAUUGUUUGUUUAUAUGUGCCAUGUCAGCUCCCCACGACCACGUGCAAGACGCUUUUUUCCACCUCAAGCGACUUGCACAUCGCCUUGGAGGCUGCAGCACAUGAGGCCACUGCUCCAACCUGCCCAGAAACCCCCACCUCUCAGCACCCAGAGACUUGGGCUUUCUAGGCACAGCUGUGAGGAGCCUCAACAUCUAGUUAAGUGGCCCAACAAGACUGGAUAGAAGUUUUCGAAGGGUCUAGAGGAGGAAAACUCUCGCAGUUCCCGCUGGGAGGCAGUGAUGCUCGCCAUUAACAUGCUGCUCCCUGCCUGCAGCCCCCCCAGCUCAGCGCCAAGGUGCACAAUGAUCUGGCCUCCAGUUCAGCCACAUCUCCCCUGUGCCCACAAAAGAUUCAGAAACUCAGGCCUGGUUUAGGAGGUGACUGGGGCUGUCAGAUGAGGUGGGGAACAAACUAGACUUGGCCCUAAGUCCAACAGGCAGCAUGAACAAAGCUUAAGUGUCCAUAAGCAUCCUUUGCUCUUGACAGCUCUCAACAAUGACAUUCAAGAACACUGAAUUCCACAAAUCUGUUGUAAACAAUAAAAGAUUUAUAACGUGUGCUGCAUGUGAAAAAGCCAGACUCUACUACAGAACCUACUUAUGAAUUGUGAAUUACCUUAUAUUUAAUCAUGUUAAACUGCAUCUGCCAUUUUGCUGCCAGAUUUCCCACUGUGUUCAUAUCUAUCUGGUAUUCCUCAUCGUUCUCCAGAGCAUUCACUAAUUGAAAUUAUUCUGCUACACUGGCAAACUUUCACUAACCAGCUGUCCAUUGCUUCUUCAAAGUGAUUAAUAAACACAUAGCAAAAAUCUCCUUUCUCUAAUGCCCAGCAAUUCCAAACCUCCUAUCGGGUUCUAAGUUACAUCCCUCUGCUAAACUACUUAACCUUUCUCUCUCUUGCUCUUCAGUCGCUUUUAUCUCUUUAGUCAUGUCAGAUUCCUUUGAAAUAUCUGAUGUUACUGGUUUACCUCCACAUUAAGUAAUAUUCAUCCCAAAACUGGAGUCCCUUUGUAUCAGCCAACCACAAUUUUGAGUAGUUUGGCAGUAGUUCAUUAUUCAUCAUUACUUCGCUUCUUUCCAUUUAACCAGCUUUUUCCAUCUAUGUGAGUACUUUACCUUUCUUCUACCAUAAAUUCAUCUAAGUGAGUUUAUCACACUCCAUUAUCUCCCCUGUCCACAAUUUUUGCAUUGAUACAUAAUCAAAAUGAUGGGAAUUUGUGAUAUUUUUCUUGAAUAGAAAGUGCUAUUUCUGAACAAGGAGGCUUAACAAACUCACUUUGGUGAAUUGGGGAAUUCCCAUUGAUGCAUUUUUGAUCUUUUUAUGUGCUCCUCAGGAAACACAGUAUUUUUCUAUCACCGUGUUAGUAAAGCUCAUGUCAGAUCCUUUGCAUCAACGCAGGCCAAAAGUGAAAUGUUUCGACACAGCAACAGCAAGAUGUGUUGUUAUGAUCAAGGAAAAUCCAGAAAGCACAACCAUUCCAACCUCUUAAUGCAACUCAGAAUGAAAAUAAGCUAUUAAAAUCAUGGAAUUUCAUGGAGAACAAAACAUCAGAUCCAAGACUUAUAAAGUACUCUCCCUCCUAGUGCAAAGAGAAGACGUUUCGCACCCAAGGCCUUGCCCUGCCCCAAAGCGCCUUACUUGUGAUCCAGGGGCUCCGAUGGGUCCUGGUGGCCCUCUGGGUCCUGAUGCACCUGGUGGCCCUGGUGGGAAUCAUCAUUUGAGACAAUUUUAAGGAGAUUCAGAAGGAAAGACCCUAAAUUCCAAACAUCUGUACUUCCUUUCAUUGUUCUGCUUAAUCUCUCAAUAGGUAAGAGCUGUUCAUCGAUCACAGGACUGCAGUAUAAAUGCUUCAUCACAUACUGGAUUACCUGAUACCCACAUCCUGAUAUAAUAUAUCCCUAUGCCCUAGGAAAGAUGCUAGGGCUCUGGGAGGAAAAAAAGGUGAAAAUAAGCAGGAAGGAUGUCAGUAACAUGCUGCAUUUGCUUAAAAUGACUGCUUUGAAAAAGCUCCAGCUAGAUCCAGGAAACAGCUACAUCAGAGUGAGAUUAGUUGCUGUUUCUGAAACAGAGUCUUGCGAUUGGCAAGGGAAGCCCACAGGCCUACGGUCUGCCUUGUGUUGUCAGAAAGCUGACGAUGGACAUGAAGGAGAUGUAGCCAGUGUGAGACUGUGGAAAGCAAAGUCUCGUGUUCUUUGCUCGCUCCAGUAGCAAUAAAUCAUUUUUAAGUCUGUACCACAGAAGCGCCUGCUUCCAGGACAAGUCAAACACUGUCUAAACAGGUCAACUUCUUCUACACAGUCACUUAACAGAUUCGUUCCUUUUGGAAAAACAAUUCUAUCAUAACAGUAGCUGUUAAACUAUACCUGCAAAUGUGAGACAGAAUAUUUGCUUAGUCUGAACUUAGCAAUACUCCUCUCUGCUUUAGUUGUCGCAACCCUUGAGAUGAAACAAUGUGGGCCUUAUACACAAAGUGCAGCUGAAUCAGCCUCAAUCAUUAACACACCACACAAAUACUUAAGUCAAAGAAUAAAGGGAUUGAAGGAUAAAUGAAAGGCCCUCAUAAUGAAAGGAAAGCCUUUUCUGCAACUAAUGGGAGUUCACUUCUAAAUAUGCAUCAUACAGGGAAGUGCUGAUGUUUGCAGGAAUACUAUCAUUUAAACCACCCAUCAGCACAGAGAAAAAGAAGAAUUACCACUGAAUUUUCAUCCCAGAUUCUGAUUUCAGGCAUACUGGUGAAAAUCUGGAAUAGCUCAAAGCAGCUCCGAAGUCUGUAGACACAUCACAGAGCAGGUGGCCAGAUCCUGCUCAGUGGAGCUCCACAGUGACAGCACUCUCCCAAACGACUUCACUGGACAACCCAUUCUUAAAGACAGUUUUUAAUUACACCCUUCUCAAGAUAUGUCCUGCCAAAGGUAAAACGAUCUGCCACUGUCAACAGGUAAGAAACCUGGUUACGUCUUGCCACCCUUCCCACUCCUGGACCCACCUUCCCAUGAGGACCCCCUGCUUUUCCUGCAGGCCUCCCACAGACUCCAGCCUCCAUCAGGAGUUUCUUUUGCUCUUCUUCCCCAUCGUUACAGGUUUGCAGCUCUACUGAGUUUAUUACCUGGUGGCCCAACGGGUCCUGGGGCUCCCCGAGGUCCUGGCAGCCCAGCCAUGAUGGUGUCUAUGACGGUGGAGGCCAGCUGGGGUUCCCCAUCUGUGUGACAGAGCAGAGCAGUCAGUGUCCCUGCAGCAACGGCUUCCCAGUGCCAGGACUUCUCUCCAAAACCCUUCAGUGCCUUUUGCUGGCCAAGGGCACACAGUGCUUCAGGAUGCAAAAUUUCAGAUCUUGGAGCGAUCUCCCUUUGCUCUGUAAGGACACAGGCUGCAUCCCCCAGACCUGCAGAGCUGCUCAUCCCUCCUCUGACAACCUCAGAAAAGUCAGCCUUUCUGUCAAAAAAAUUGCAUUCCUGCACACCUAUAUACUCCUCUCUUCGAAUGUCCAAGCAGUUAAGAGUAGCUCUGUACUGUACAGCAAUAACUGACCCAAAAUUCGCCAUCCCCAAGACACUUUUGCCAUUUAGGAUUAUAUUAGGUGUUCUGGUCAGCUUGGGCAGGUCCAUUAAGUUCUGGGAAACGGAUGGAAAUGGGAGCAGAGCAGGGAGGGAAAAGGCAUCAGGAGGAACUGGAGGAAUUCUGUGCUUUUGCACAUCUUUCUCAGUCCUCUUUUGUUAGGAAUAAAUAUCAGCAGCUUGUAGGCGCCCCCCUCUUCCCUCGAACCAAGAGGCUUACCGCUUUAGCUGGUGACUGACUGGAAAAAACAGAACUAGAUAUAUAAAAGCAAACAUUAUUAUUUUCUGCAAUUCCUAAACCAUAUUCAACAACCCCAUUCCCUAUGGACCUGUACUGUAGCAUACUGGUAGCCUGGGGUGGUACCUGUGUGGCAGCAUCUUUCAUCUGAGCAUCCCACAACACUGUCUGACAGGUGUGGAAACCUAGGGGACAAAGUUCCACAACUGACCAAGACACCAAGGUCAAAAAGCAAGGAAGGGAACCCCCAUGCCCAGAUAUUGCUAAGAUUUGCAAUCUGCUGACCAACAGCAGGACCAACAGCGUAUUUCCUGUUGAAUUUGAACUGGAUAAAGAUGUUGUCUCCUGGUCACUGUGAUGGUAAACCCUCUAUUUUCCAUAGCUGGAGGCCACCAUGCAGGAAUAAUGUCCAUCUCCUCCUGCCCAUGACCUCAAACUUACUCAUGUUUCCUAACUCACCACAGUAAAAUUCAGGAGAACCCUUUGUAGGUGUAAGAGACAGCAAAUGUCUCACUGCUAUAUUGAUGCAAAUAUCAAGGGACACCAGGAAGGUCAGAAGGAUGUUUGCUUACUCUGCAGAGUCCAGCCCAACGGACAUAAAGUGAAAUCUCCAGAAAUGUCAACAGACACAUUAUGAAACCUUCUCAACUUCUGGACUGUUGGCAGUGAUAAAGACGACUUUCAAGGUAGUUAUUUGAAAGCAGUUCCUAGGGAAAACUGUGAAACCUCUUCAACUGCCAAGGAUGACAGUUCAUCUCUGCAAUGCCCUCCUGGCAGCAGAACAGCACAGGAUCUAACACAGAUCCUCAGAGAACCGAAUUUCGUGCCUAAAACCUGAAUGCAAACAGGUUUUUUUUUUGGGUAUUGUUUCUAACUCCAUCCAUCUUCCCUUCUUUACAGCCCUGAAACAAAACUGAGACUGUUUUCGUGUUCAGAAGGAAAGGUACCCAAGUGAAGUGUGUAAUCCAAUUAAUGUGAGUUUUAUUUGACCACGUCAAAAUCCAUUACAGCUUGGGAGCAAGAUGAAAUUGGGAAAUGAGCAUCAAACAGCAGUGAAGGCAUUAACAAUUGCAGAGUCUUUUGUUUUUAAAGAACAAGCGGUCAACAAAAUCAAAUGCACUUCCACUGAGAGGGGGAGAUGAUGUGCUGCAAACAACCAGGAUUUAAUUACUGCUGGAGGUAAGCCAGGGAUAAAGAUCUGGGUUACAAAACAUUCCAGCUAAAUGUUGCAUUAUUAUGAUGACAGAGCUACUCCCACAAAUACACCUAUCCUGACAUUUGAUUCAAAGUUAUUGAUGAAAGGUGGUUCCAUAAUUGUGGCACAGAAGAGAGCUCUGCUCAGCAGCCCUUUGCUCAGCAGCUCGGGUUUGACCCCGCAGCCCCGAGUGUGGACGUGCACAUCUGGAGUGGCUCCUCAGCUGCCUGGCCAGGAAUUCUCUCUAUAUUCCCAUAAAGCAGCAAAAAGAACUGGGAUCUCCUUUUAAACCCCCUUCUCUUUAGCAGCAGGGGGACAUUCAGGGCUCACUGCAGCUGGAGGGUGUUAGAGCAGCCACAAAAUAGCAACAAAUGGUAGCAGGAAUCUCCCCUUCUCAGCCACCUCCUGCACUGAUCCAGGCUUUGCUGGGCUCAAGGGCUGGAUUUUGUUUCAGUGCUUCUGGAUAUACCAAAGAAAGCAGACAACAAUUUGCUUUGGGAGUUUGCCAACUCCCGGCCAAGCCAAGAAGAAGAAUUCAACCAGUCUGACCUGGGCAGAUACGAGCACUUACAUUCUCUGGAAGAGAACACAAAGAUCCUGCAAAGGGGAAACCCGAAACAGGACAGAAAUGCCCUGAACGAGGCAGUGAAACUGGCCAAGCCAGAGUGGCACAGGCACCAACAGCUUUGAACGCAAUCAGUACAGUUUUCUAAAUUAAAUGCUGUUCCCUUCCUCUGCUGUGUUGUCCCCUCCCCAGGAAGCCUACGCGUGGCAGCAGGCACAGGGAGUCACUUCACAAAUCUCUGCUCUCCUCUCUUUUUCACCAGCGAUGUGCUGGGCAGGCAGGCAAGCCCGCUGUGCCUCGGUUUCCCCUCGCUCUCCCUGCAAGAUUGGUUAAUGUUGUCUCGUGUCCUUUGCAAAUUGAAAUCUUUGAGAUGUAAGAAAACACAGCCCUCAACAGAGUGAAAAUUGCGGGUUUUUUUUUCCCUUUUCCCUAAGAAUUGUCUUAGCAGGAGAAAGAGGACCGAGCGGACUCCAGGCCACGUACCUGAUGCGCUCAUUCGGAAGCGGCAGGGAAAGCAAGUGAUGCUGGGAGCUGCAGCCUCAGCAGUGGGGUAUGGCAGUUUAGCUUCUGGCCUCCACCUAAUGUUUCUAAGGGAUAAAUUCCCCCAUUAUAGGCUUGAUUUGUAGAGACAGGAUGGAAAUGAAGUAAUCCUGUCUUAAUUUCUUUCUGCUACCUGAUCUGGUUGGGGACAACUGGGACCAAUUUCUUCACCACGGCACAGUGAAACUGUGAGAAAAUAUUUGUCUCCCCAUUUUUGGCUUCUGCCUGCUGAUAAACAUUGCCAACAGGAACUUGCUGCGAUUAAUGAAGGCACAGGCAUUAACCAUGUUCAGGCGGAACCAAACACUGUACUAUAAUAACCCGAUACAGCUUUCUCACAUCUCUGUGGGUGCAUGUGUCCACUACCAGGAAUAUGCUUCCCUCUGCUGUCAGCAGCUGGAAUCUUGUGUUUAUAGUUUUCAGAUGUGCUCCAUUCAAAAUAAAAUAAAAAAAUAAAUUAAAAUAAAAUCUACCCAGAAUUUACAAGGCUACAUUUUAUUGGUUGUAGAGGAUCAGCUUUCCACCAACCUGUGGGAGGAAAACUCAGCCAACACAUAAGCAAAAUGGCAAGUUUUGUAAGCAAAUGGUCUUGAUAUUACUGUAAUUUUAUCACGACUGCAGAGAUAAGUUACACUUGCAGUGAGACUUGUAUUAAAGAAAAAAUAAACAAGAAAAAUUGUCAUAAA
Columba livia (rock pigeon) is the source of this 13497-nucleotide long non-coding RNA. RefSeq lists it as uncharacterized. The transcript has 3 exons. The record is from RefSeq and is a predicted model, not a curated record. Lineage: Eukaryota; Metazoa; Chordata; Aves; Columbiformes; Columbidae.